Molecule: signal recognition particle RNA, 273 nt
Filed under: Candidatus Woesearchaeota archaeon
Lineage: Archaea; Nanobdellati; Candidatus Woesearchaeota
Description: signal recognition particle sRNA
Rfam family: Archaeal signal recognition particle RNA
Source: RNAcentral
GGGCAAGCUAGACUGGGAGGUUAGCGCUCUCCUGUCACUGUAAACACGCUUUAGACAGGGUCGAAGCCCAGGAAGAGAUAUAGGCAUAGUAUGCCAGUCUUGGUUUGGACAAUGAGGCUUUGUCCUAUUGGACUAUUGUCUUAAGGAAUUGGGUCAGGAUGGGAACAUAGCAGCCCUAACUUCUGAUAUUGGUGCUUAUGGGGUAGCGGAGCUAAGGAAGAAUCAAGGUCACUGGUGUAUUAUGUUUGUAUCGAUUUCUGGGCGUGCUUGCCC